GGGCCGCACCCACGGCAUAUGGAGGUUCCUAGGCUAGGAGUCAAAUCGGAGCUGUAGCUGCCAGCCCACACCACAGCCACAGUGAUGCCAGAUCUGAGGUGCAUCUGUGACUUAUGUCACAGCUUGUGGCAACAGAAGAUCCUUAACCCACUGAGCGAGACCAGGGAUCAAACCCACAACCUCAUGGUUCCCAGUUGGAUUCGUUUCUGCUGUGCCAUGACAAGAACUCCAGCUUUAUUCUUUAAAUUAAAAUAAUCCAUCUUGAAUUUGUUUUAUGGAAACGGGUAAGUUUCUAACUUUAUUUUAUAAGCUAGUAGCCUAUUGCCUUCAUUUGUUCCAUAGUCCAGCCUUUCUCCACUGAUAAGAAAAGCUGCCUUGAUUUCAAACUAAACUAUUUUAUUUUAUUUAAAAAAAAAUUUUUUUAGGGGCAUACGGAAGUUCCCAGCCUAGGGGUCGAAUUGGAGCUACAUCUGCACCGACCUACACCACAGCUCAGGGCAAUGCUGGACCCUCGACCCACUAAGGGAGGCCAGCGAUCGAACCAACAUCCUUGUAGAUACUAGUCGGAUUUGUUUCCACUGUGCCACAAUGGGAAUUCCUCAAAAUAAACUAUUUUAUACCUUUGUGUACAUUACUGAAUUUCCAUUCUGUUACUAUGACUUUUUGUUUUGUGCUGUUAUUUCUGCUUUACCUUAUUUCAGUUUUACUGUCUGGUAGGUGAUAGCUGUUAUCAUCACCUUUAUUUGAAACACUGUAGCUACUAUAUUUACAUGAACUAUAGGAUAAUUUUGUUAAGUUUAAACAUGUUCUCUUUGGGUUUUAUUUGGGAUAUAUAGGGUUUUUAAGUUUUCAUUUUCCAAUUUUUUACAGCUCUUUAAUAGAAAUACAAUUUUAUAGAUUGCCUUUGUAUUAAUUCACUUAUUAGUUUUAAUAGUUUGCUACAGAUUCUUUGGGGAUUUCAACAAUACAAUUAUGAGAGCUGCAAAUAAAGAGUUUUACUUCUCCCUUUUCACUUUUUAAGGACUUUUAUUUAUUUUUCCUUUGGAAAAGACUUCCAAAUAAUCUCUCUGUAGACUGAUGGACCUAAUUCAAGUCAUAUGUAAAAUGAUCUAUAAAAAGUGUCAGGUCAGGACCCAGAAGCCUUAGUUGGAAAGGAUACUGGAUAAUUUAAUUGAAGCAACAUGAAUAUGAUUUCUCACCUAAUAUCCCUGUUGAUAUAAUACAUUUACCUGCACAAAAUGUAUAUAACACACCCACGCAUAAUAAAUAUGCACAUCAGCAACACACCGUGAAUCACCUUCACAGAAAAUGCAAGAAAAUCAUACUUGAAGGAAAACUUUUGUUAAAUUACGAAAAAUCUCAAGAGCUUGAAUUAGAGGUCUCAAAACAAACUUUGCUUACAUCAAACUUUGCUUCUUUAUCUUUUGGGGCUUUGUGGAAAGCAAUUUUCCCUGUAUUUAUCCACCUAAGCCCAGACAAGAUAAGGGCAGGGUUCCUAUCUUCUUCCUACUCUGUAGUUUGCCAGUUCGGUGUUCCAUGAGUGUUCCUUGAGUGAGUGGAUGCAUUAGUAAAUGAAGAGUGAAGGAGUGGAAUUAUGGAUGAGAGAAGUCAGCCCUAAUCUUUGGUUCUUUUUGACAAUCCACCCACCUUUUUUUUUUUUUGCUUUUUAGGGCCACACACUCAUUGCAUUUGGAGGUUCCCAGGCUAGGGGUCGAAUCAGAGCUGUAGCUGCCAGCCUGUGCCACAGCCACACUCUGAUUCGCCCCCUAGCCUGGGAACUUCCAUGUGCUACAGGGGUUGCCCUAAAAAGAAAAAAAAAAAAAAAAAAAAAAAAAUGACCAGAGCAAUCUCUCUCCCCCGACCACUUCAGUCCCACUUCUCAGAGGUUGCCAAUGGGAACAGCCAAACAAUGAAGUAGGAGAUGUGGAGGUUGGACAGAAUUAGACUUUUGUCAAAAGCUGAAUUUGGUUGUACCGAUCUCUGUGUAUACCCGGUAUAGUUAUGGUCAGGGAAGAAAUGCCAUAAUUAUUAUCCAGCUUCAGUGAGCUUCAGUCUACCAUCUGUUAUCUCUGGGAGGGAAGCAAAAGAGGCCCCUCUACUCAUUGCCCUCCACCUAUUUUGGGGCAAGUGCUUCCACUCUCUGUCCACAUUCAACACUCCUGCCCACGUCUACCAGCCCUCCACCCCUCGCAUGAAUAGUUUACUCACGGAUCCACGUACAUGUCCAUCCCGGUAAACAACUUCCCUAGACCCUACAGUGCCCAGUACAGUGUUUUUCAAAAAGUGGGCCCUUGGAACAAUAUUUGCUAGAUGCACAAAAUAAAGGAGGAAAUGAGGAGAGGGACAGACAUAAAAGAUGAGAUGCAGCUAAUACCAAAUAUUACAUUCGGCAAGGCUUAGUAUAUAUACAUUAAAUUACACUGGAUUGCUUUCUAGUAAUUACAGCUCUGGGCUUAAAAUGGUUUUUAGAGACGCAUUAGAAAUUCCUACUUUAGCUUAAUCAUAAUGUUUAGUUUUCC
This 2519-nucleotide long non-coding RNA is filed under the name Sus scrofa (pig). RNAcentral describes it as "lncRNA (ENSSSCG00030035488.1)". Lineage: Eukaryota; Metazoa; Chordata; Mammalia; Artiodactyla; Suidae. The record is from RNAcentral.